Molecule: long non-coding RNA, 1986 nt
Organism: Herpailurus yagouaroundi (jaguarundi)
Lineage: Eukaryota; Metazoa; Chordata; Mammalia; Carnivora; Felidae
Exons: 4
Source: RefSeq, a predicted model, not a curated record
CUCUCCAGUGAGGUAGCCUGCAUUUUGCAAAAUGAAAGGCCCUGAGAAGGAAACUGACAAGAGAGUCAGCCAAAAAUACAUCCAGACCACCUAAAGGCCAGGUCUGUAUUUGAGUUUGAUUUUUCUGAGUAUGUCUAGAGGCCCCAACAAGAGUCCAAAUACCCCAGUCAGAAGCUUGAGUCCCUGCACCAGCACCUUCCCAGAGCUUACCAAUAGUGGCCCAGUUGAUUGAAGGUUCUAUGACUCACAGGUCCCAAACCUGCUAUUUAAACAUCAGCAUUUCCUUUUUUUGGGCUUAAGACUAAUUGGUAUAGAGGUAGUGAGCUCCCAGGCCUAGCCCCACCCUGUUGAAACAUGUAGCCCUCAAAGGUUUCCACUUCAGGCACCACCCGUGAGGUACAGCUAUCAUCUGCCACAUGUCUGAGUGCAAACAUUUAACCCAUGCUGAGCCAUCAUGCUUUCCUCAGCUUCUCGACAGCCUUCCAGUGUGCAUCUCUGCCACAUCACUCCCCUGCCCCAAGGCCUCCAAAGACACCCCAUGAUGCUCGGAACAAAAGCCAAAGUCUUCCUUCCCUGAGCUGCCCCCCUCUCCCCAAUUUCUCUUUCUAUUCCAUGUCAUCCCCAUCAUUCACUCUGCUCUGGUCCCUGAUCUUCUAGCUGUUCUCCAACACAUCAAACUUGUCCCUGUCCCAGGCCUUUGCACUUAGGGUUCCUUCUACCUGAAAUGCUCUUUGCCGGGAUCAAAUAUGGCUUACUCUUUCUUCAUUCAACCUCUUCUCUAAUGUCACCUUUCCAGAAAAGUCUUCCUGACUCCACUGUGUGUAAAAUAGUGCACCCCUCACCCCUAUCUCUCUACCCUGCGUUACUUUUUUUCAAGGCUCUUAUCACCGGUUGAUAUAUGUAGAUGUAUACAUAUACGUAUACAUAUGCAUAUAUAUAUAUAUAUGUUGUUGGUGGUGGUUGGUUAGUUUGCUGCUUAUUGUCUGUCACCCCCACUAAGAUGUAAACAGGGUAAGGAGGGACAUUGUCUUUUUUUACUCUGUAUCUCCAGUGUCUAGAAUAGAGUCUGGCACAUAGGUGCUUAUUGAAUAUUUGUUGAAUGAAUGAAUGCAUGCAUGACUUCUUACUGUGAGUGCAAGGAGGUGGGGAGGGGUGGGGAGGCUCAGGCUUGGCUCACUCUACACAGAUCAGUGCUUCCAUGACUUGGAUACUGAACCAUGAGAAACAAAGAGAUUUGUUGGUUUAAUUUCUUUUGCCCUGGGAAAAUUAAAGAUCACAGAUAAUCCAAAACUCAGUGCCAAGUUCUCUAUUUAUAAUCGAGGAAUUAUUCACACAGAGGUAAACAAGAGCAAAGGACUGACAAGUGAACUGGAGGAGGAGAAUGAUGGGAAACAGACUGAGGGACCCGUACAUCUGCAUGCCUUCAACAGGCCUGGGUUCUCACCAGCACUCACUCAACCUUGGAUCCAGAGAACCCUUGAUGUUUUCCAGUCCCAGAAUCCUCUGGGACAGGCUGCCCAGAUGGCUGUUGGGAGUGAGCUGGCGAUCUUAAGCAGAGGCAGCCUAGCUCAGGGCCCUGGGUGCCAAGAUAGUCUCCAGAGACUCUUCUCCCCUCAGGGCCUCAGUCUAGAGUCUGAGGAGAGCUCCCCCCAUUGACACCAUCAGGACCUCCAGCACUGGCUUAAGUGGCUUCCCUGUCCACUGCAGCAUUUGAUUUCAAGCUACAUGUGAAAAAACAGAGUCAUUGAGAGAAAGCAACUCACUGAAGGUCACGUGGGAAACAGCACAGAUAGGAAGAACCAGGCCUCCGAGUCACAGAAAGAUCUUCCAUUCAUCAUGGAUUUCUACAGGCUGCAAGAAGACAAAGAACACAAGUGACAAGACACCUAGAAAAAGAUGUUCAAGACCUACAUGAAGCCCACCCAGGGUUCUCUUUGAAACUAUUGUUUGUUGAAGUUAUGGGGAAUAAAGUUUACACUCCCAUUA